ACGGAGGGUGCAAGCGUUAAUCGGAAUUACUGGGCGUAAAGCGCACGCAGGCGGUUGGAUAAGUUAGAUGUGAAAGCCCCGGGCUCAACCUGGGAAUUGCAUUUAAAACUGUCCAGCUAGAGUCUUAUAGAGGGGGGUAGAAUUCCAGGUGUAGCGGCGAAAUGCGUAGAGAUCUAGAGGAAGGUGGGUAGGGGAGGCGAGCACCUGGAAUAAGACUGACGCUCAGGUGCGAAAGCGUGGUGAGCUAGCAG
RNAcentral lists this ribosomal RNA (251 nucleotides) under uncultured prokaryote. RNAcentral describes it as "partial 16S rRNA". It matches the Rfam family "Bacterial small subunit ribosomal RNA", at positions 525 to 775 of the family's 1533-position model. The record is from RNAcentral.